Molecule: small RNA, 346 nt
Filed under: Theobroma cacao (cacao)
Lineage: Eukaryota; Viridiplantae; Streptophyta; Magnoliopsida; Malvales; Malvaceae
Description: sRNA Tc05v2_g009150
Source: RNAcentral
AAAGAGGGAAAGAAUAGAAAAACCCAAAGGAGGAAAAAUUCAAGAGAAAUUCAUUGGAUUUUCAAAAAACGAAGCGAUCGGAGGUGGUGAGCCCUCUAAUAAGGGGAAGGAUAUCGUACUUGAGGACCAAGAGUAGGAGUACUCCCGUUAUAGUUCAGAGCAGUCUGUAGAUAAUCGAUUUUGUCGAAGGUUUGCUUUUAGAUUUGCACCUUUAGAAAUCGUAAGUCUACAAUCCGGUUUAUUUUUGUUAUUUUGGGGCUCACAUGUCAUUGUAAAAUAUUUUUGUAUACCCUGGCGCUGUGUGCUAUUAUGUAUAUGAGUUUAUUUUGUUACUAUGCUAUAGUAA